RNAcentral lists this ribosomal RNA (239 nucleotides) under uncultured bacterium. RNAcentral's name for it is "partial 16S ribosomal RNA". It matches the Rfam family "Bacterial small subunit ribosomal RNA", at positions 102 to 334 of the family's 1533-position model. The record is from RNAcentral.
CGACGGGUGAGUAACACGUAUGCAAUCCACCUGUAACAGGGGGAGUAACCCGGAGGAAUCCGGACUAAUACCCCAUAAUAUGGGCGCUCCGCAUGAAGAGUCCAUUAAAGAGAGCAAUCUUGGUUACAGACGAGCAUGCGCUCCAUUAGCCAGUUGGCGGGGUAACGGCCCACCAAGGCGACGAUGGAUAGGGGUUCUGAGAGGAAGUUCCCCCACAUUGGAACUGAGACACGGUCCAA